Molecule: transfer RNA, 72 nt
Filed under: Camelus bactrianus (Bactrian camel)
Lineage: Eukaryota; Metazoa; Chordata; Mammalia; Artiodactyla; Camelidae
Also listed under: 2 other names
Rfam family: tRNA
About the family: Transfer RNA (tRNA) molecules are approximately 80 nucleotides in length. Their secondary structure includes four short double-helical elements and three loops (D, anti-codon, and T loops).
Source: Rfam by way of RNAcentral
GAGGGUGAGGCUCGGUGGUAGAGCACAUGCUUAGCCUACAUGAAGUCCUGGGUUCAAUCCCCAGUACUGCCA